UUGAACCUCCUUCGACAGUUCGACCCCCAGAUUUGGAUAUCUUGUUAGUUGUUUGUACCACGUCGUGUUAUCGUGUUAAACCCCCAUGGCAAUUCUUGAUUUGAUCAAGUAGCAAAUUGGAGGAGUGUGAUCUGGUGCUGUCCUUGGCUUUCCUACACUCUUCAAUUACAUCCGACAACUUGCCUUUUAUAAUUUUCUCGUCUGAUUUAAAAUGAUUCAAAUGCAUCUACAAUUGCCUUUGAUUGUACAUAAAUUAAAAGAGUGCACUUUCUGACAGCAAUGAAUCUCAUGCUCAAAGCCUAAGAUCAAAGGUAAAAUGGCCAAAAUGAUGAGGCAGUUCCCCUGGGGGCGUAGCAUGAUCCUACUCCUUCUACUCUGGCUCAUUUUCCUAGUUAUCGCCCUCGGUUUCUUAAGGCACGAACCCGACCAGCAGACCAACAUGAGGAUAUCGCAGGCACUGCGCGAUCUCCAGUCCCUCCACCGCCAGAGGGAGGAAAUCAGCAAGCUGCUCACCGACUACAACUCGGGAAAUCUUCCUCUGAGACAGGAUGAAAAAGAAUCCAUUUUGAAAAAUAUUCAAGACAAAACUAUGCUAUCUGAAAAUCAGCAGGGUUUUGACCUAAACGAUUUUGUCAGGGGACGAAGAGAUAAAAAACCAUCCCUCGAAUAUGAAAAACUCAGGAGACGUCUACAGAUGGGAGUAGAAGAGAUGUGGUAUUUUAUAAGCAGCCAGGUGAAGCAGAUUCAAAAGUCAAAGUCUUCCCCUCAGCUUGCGACUCAUUUGAAUAAGAUACUCGAAGAAGGAGUUGAGCACAAGAGGUCUCUUUUAAAAGAUGUGUCUCGCCUGGGUGAAUUGGAUGGGUUCGCGGGCUGGAGGUUGAAAGAGGCUUUCGAACUUUCAGACCUCGUACAAAGGAGGAUUUCCUACUUGCAAAACCCAACUGAUUGUGAUAGUGCCAAAAAGCUGAUCUGCAAGCUGAACAAGGGUUGUGGUUAUGGGUGUCAGCUUCAUCAUGCUGUAUAUUGCUUAUUGGUAGCAUUUGGUACAGAAAGGACUUUAAUACUCCAAUCAAGAGGAUGGCGCUAUAAUAAAAAUGGUUGGGAACAAGUAUUCCAACCUGUCAGUGAUACAUGCAGAGAAGUUAAAUCCCCCAUUACUCCUUGGCCAGGGACUCCUAAUUCCCCAGCCGUCCUUUUAGGCAUAAUAGAUUCUGUUUCACCAAGGCCUCCUUAUUUGCCACUUGCCGUACCAAAAGAUCUCGCUGAACGCAUUGAACGACUCCAUGGCGACCCUUCUGUAUGGUGGGUCGGCCAGUUUCUCAAGUACCUUUUACGACCACAGCCCGCGACGACUGAUAUGCUUCAAAAAGCAGCGGUCAAUUUUAAGUUCCAGCAUCCCAUCGUUGGAGUACACAUAAGAAGGACAGAUAAAGUUGGGACAGAAGCAGCCUUUCAUCAUGUCGAAGAAUAUAUGUCGCACGUAGAGGAAUAUUUCAAAAUCCUUUCCUUAUCGCAACCUGUACCCAUUAAACGUGUCUACUUGGCAUCUGAUGAUGUCAAUGUUUUUGCAGAAAUAAAGAAAAAGUAUCCUGAUUAUGAAGUUAUUGGUGAUCCGAAAAUUGCAAAAACAGCAGCAGUCUCGACUAGAUACUCGGACAAUUCAUUAAAUGGAAUCAUUAUGGAUAUAUACUUCUUGUCUCAGUCUGAUUAUCUCGUUUGUACAUUUUCUUCUCAGGUCUGUCGAGUUGCUUAUGAAAUAAUGCAGUCGCUGCAUCCUGAUGCUGCAUCAAGAUUCAGAUCUUUAGAUGACAUAUAUUACUACGGCGGGCAAGGCAUACACAGACAAGUUGCAGUUAUGAGUCAUAGGGCCAACUCGCCCGAUCAGAUGGACCUUGAGGUCGGUGAUAUUGUCGGGGUCGCGGGCAACCACUGGGACGGUUACUCAAAAGGAAGGAAUUUGAGGACGAAUCAAGAUGCACUCUAUCCAUCUUUCAAGGUUGAAAAUGUCGUCGAGGCUAUCGAAUUUCCAACAUAUACAGAAGUUCCUUUGAAGGUUGUCCCUGAACAGAAUGACAAUUGAAUUCAGGGCACAGACUUAUAAAAUACUCACUUGUGUAAUACUGUUGGGGAAUUUAGGAAUUUCUCUACCAUCAAAUUGUUUCUGAUGUUAAUAAAAAACAAGUUGUUAAUAUCAAAAUAAUUAGUUAAUAAGGGCAUUUAUUAGAUUUGCUGAAAAAACUGCAAUAGAGUUCUUUCGUUUUGACAUUCAGGGGGAUAUUGAGACUGAGUUUUUCUUUUAUAUUUUACAACCAAAACGGUUUUCAAUUGUACCUUCGAUUCGACUUAUUGUCGUCAAAUUGCGUAAAAAAAAUAUCAAAACCAUACUUGGUAGUCAAUUUAUUUUCUGAAAAAUUGUGUUCACUAGGACCCAACGUUUAAGCUUUUUCACUUAUGUUAUUCACAAUUCUAUUUUGUGUGUGUGAUUAUCCUUUUUUUUAUCUAUAACGACAACAUGAAGAGACAUGGGCAUCACAACCCUCUUCUUUUUUUUCUUUUAGUGCACAUGUGUUAUAUUUUCUUUCUGUGUAUGUUUAUUAUCAUUAAUGUAUUUUCACAUUCCUGGAGGAAAAAAAUUGCAAAAGGAGAAAUGAUAUUUAAUAUUUUACUGAUUUUCUUCCAUUAUAUAUUUUUUUAUGUACUUUUCUUGAUUAUAAACUGAGAUUUUUCUAUAGAUUUAUCUACUUAUAGCUGAGAUAUUUGUAAUUUGAUUUUUUUGAGAUUCAUAUGUGAUCAUCAAACAGGAUUUUGACUUAAAUUAAUAAUGUGUUACGUUGACGCACAAAUCUAAUCUUUUUUAUAAAAUCUGGCUUUAUGAUUUUUGAAUCCUUGUUUCAGUUAACCAUUUAAUAUGUUUUUACUCAAAAUAAAUUUGGUUUUGUAAUAUGAA
This 2947-nucleotide unclassified non-coding RNA is filed under the name Cimex lectularius (bed bug). Its description in RNAcentral is "alpha-(1,6)-fucosyltransferase, transcript variant X1". The record is from RNAcentral. Lineage: Eukaryota; Metazoa; Arthropoda; Insecta; Hemiptera; Cimicidae.